Molecule: ribosomal RNA, 497 nt
Filed under: uncultured bacterium
Lineage: Bacteria
Description: partial 16S ribosomal RNA
Rfam family: Bacterial small subunit ribosomal RNA
Source: RNAcentral
GAUGAACGCUGGCGGCGUGCCUAAUACAUGCGAGUCGAGCGAACAGACGAGGAGCUUGCUCCUCUGACGUUAGCGGCGGACGGGUGAGUAACACGUGGAUAACCUACCUAUAAGACUGGGAUAACUUCGGGAAACCGGAGCUAAUACCGGAUAAUAUAUUGAACCGCAUGGUUCAAUAGUGAAAGACGGUUUUGCUGUCACUUAUAGAUGGAUCCGCGCCGCAUUAGCUAGUUGGUAAGGUAACGGCUUACCAAGGCAACGAUGCGUAGCCGACCUGAGAGGGUGAUCGGCCACACUGGAACUGAGACACGGUCCAGACUCCUACGGGAGGCGGCAGUAGGGAAUCUUCCGCAAUGGGCGAAAGCCUGACGGAGCAACGCCGCGUGAGUGAUGAAGGUCUUCGGAUCGUAAAACUCUGUUAUUAGGGAAGAACAAAUGUGUAAGUAACUAUGCACGUCUUGACGGUACCUAAUCAGAAAGCCACGGCUAACUACGUG